RNAcentral lists this ribosomal RNA (497 nucleotides) under uncultured bacterium. RNAcentral describes it as "partial 16S ribosomal RNA". It matches the Rfam family "Bacterial small subunit ribosomal RNA", at positions 28 to 507 of the family's 1533-position model. The record is from RNAcentral.
GAUGAACGCUGGCGGCGUGCCUAAUACAUGCAAGUCGAGCGAACAGACGAGGAGCUUGCUCCUCUGACGUUAGCGGCGGACGGGUGAGUAACACGUGGAUAACCUACCUAUAAGACUGGGAUAACUUCGGGAGACCGGAGCUAAUACCGGAUAAUAUAUUGAACCGCAUGGUUCAAUAGUGAAAGACGGUUUUGCUGUCACUUAUAGAUGGAUCCGCGCCGCAUUAGCUAGUUGGUAAGGUAACGGCUUACCAAGGCAACGAUGCGUAGCCGACCUGAGAGGGUGAUCGGCCACACUGGAACUGAGACACGGUCCAGACUCCUACGGGAGGCAGCAGUAGGGAAUUUUCCGCAAUGGGCGAAAGCCUGACGGAGCAACGCCGCGUGAGUGAUGAAGGUCUUCGGAUCGUAAAACUCUGUUAUUAGGGAAGAACAAAUGUGUAAGUAACUAUGCACGUCUUGACGGUACCUAAUCAGAAAGCCACGGCUAACUACGUG